RNAcentral lists this long non-coding RNA (1007 nucleotides) under Malus domestica (apple). RNAcentral's name for it is "long non-coding RNA (MDOM_LNC005880)". The record is from RNAcentral. Lineage: Eukaryota; Viridiplantae; Streptophyta; Magnoliopsida; Rosales; Rosaceae.
UUACCAAUAUAUUUGCAAACGCUAUCCAAAACUUGACAAAGAAAAGCCGAAUGCUUUAGUUUCCGGACUUAGUACUACAAAACCAUAGAUUGUCUUUAAUGGCUUGUAAAUGUACCUAAGUAGUCUCAUCCUCACAAUCUUCCUAUUGAUAAUGUAUCAUUAGAAGAAUAUGUUAGAAAAGUCUAUCGUAAAGAGGACAACAAUUGGAAAUGUCAUAAUUCUUCAAUUACAAAUUGUUGUAUGAAGAAAUAGGAGUUGCUUUGAACAACUCUUAGUCAAUGCAAACACUUAGUGCUUGUUUCUUUGUUAAAUGAACAAAGAACUUAAGAAGAAAGCACAAAGGCAUGGACACUUUAUGUGCCAUGUUUCUUCACUUACAAAUUGUUGUAUGAAGAAAUGAGAGUUGCCUUGUACAACUCUUGAAGGUUUGUAAUUAUGUUUAGAACAUAAUGGUUGGUUGACAAAAAUAGUCCAUUAACAUGGACUUAUAAUGAUUUUGAAUCAUUAAGUGUUGAAGUGAUAAACCACUUAAUGAGACGGAAACUAGGCAAGGACUUCACCUAAGUGCCCCUAUCCUAAUGGUUCACUAAGUUUAUUGUAAACUAUGUAGUGAACAAUAACCACAUGCUCUCCAAAAUGUUUGAUGUAUAACACAAUUGAAAUAAGUUUCAAGAGAGAUAGUGGGAGUUUAGGGACCGUGACUAUUGUAGUCAAAGGAGAAGUCAAAUGAAGAAGAUAAAAUUAACUCCAAGGGAACAAACUUUCUUUAUGAAAGGAUGGACAUUGGAAGGGGUAUUUGCAAGAAAUGUCUUGCAAAUGUCAAGAACCCACCUUUCGAAGGUGUUGUAAAUUGUUCUUGAAAAGUUCAAAACAGUUGGUUCUUCUACUUGAAUGCUUGAUUCCGUAUUAGUAACUAUGUUUUACAAUCGUUAUAAAAGUGUGACUAAUAAGAAGUAGAAGAUAUAUGAGAGAAGGAAAAGGUGCUUCACAUUCGGAAAGUGAAUCAA